UACAGAGGCCUCGAGCGUUAAUCGGAGUCACUGGGCUUAAAGGGUGCGUAGGCUGUUUCGUAAGUGCUUUGUGAAAUCCCAUGGCUUAACCAUGGAAUGGCUUGGCAUACUGCGAAACUUGAGGUCGGUAGGGGUCGCUGGAACUCUAGGUGGAGCGGUGAAAUGCGUAGAUAUCUAGAGGAACGCCAAAGGUGAAGACAGGCGACUGGGCCGAUUCUGACGCUGAGGCACGAAAGCGUGGGGAG
RNAcentral lists this ribosomal RNA (245 nucleotides) under uncultured bacterium. Its description in RNAcentral is "partial 16S ribosomal RNA". It matches the Rfam family "Bacterial small subunit ribosomal RNA", at positions 524 to 768 of the family's 1533-position model. The record is from RNAcentral.